RNAcentral lists this non-coding RNA (879 nucleotides) under Melipona quadrifasciata. Its description in RNAcentral is "Eukaryotic large subunit ribosomal RNA". It matches the Rfam family "Eukaryotic large subunit ribosomal RNA", at positions 1 to 664 of the family's 3401-position model. The record is from Rfam by way of RNAcentral. Lineage: Eukaryota; Metazoa; Arthropoda; Insecta; Hymenoptera; Apidae.
UCUUCUUCCUCUGUGAGAAGAAAAAAAAACCUUUCUUAUGUCGUGCUAUGUUCGAGCCGAGACGCACGCAAGACAUCCAACUAUCAGAUAUUAACGUCCGUCCUCUGUUAUGACUCUGAAUAACAAACUUCCCAAUUCCUCGCGAGAAAUCCCGUGGUAUCGCACUGCAUCCAAAUCCGUAGGACUAUUUAUCCGCAGAGGAUGCCAGGCCAGUAGCGACCGGUACGUAUUUCGGGAGGAUCUCUCCUUAGAGUCGGGUUGGUUGAGAGUGCAGCCCUCAGUGGUAAACUCCAUUUAAGGCUAAAUAAGACCGCGAGACCGAUAGCAAACGAGUACCAGAGAAAGUUUAAAAGAACUUUGAAAAAAAAAGUUCAAGAAUACGUGAAACCGUUCACAAGAAUAAACCUGAGAAACCGAAAAAAUUGAAUGAAGAGAUUCAUUAUCGACGGCGCUGGCUACCAUUGGCGUGCGGUGCUUCGGAUGGGCUUCUGUGGUUCCAUUAGAGAGGGUACACCACCUUCGGAACGAACGUUCUGGCGUCGUCGUUUUGUACUUCUCUUCUAGUAAGACGUUGCGACCUGUUGUGUGUCUACGGCCCUAGUGGACGCUUGUCGCGUCGUUUCGGCACAUGCGGUAGACCCUCGAUCGCCCAGCCCUACAAGAGUAGCAUUUCAUGUCCAUUUCAUUCAGUCCAUUCAGUGUGUACGUUCAUCCCGCCGAAAGCUCGGUCAGUUCUAAUCCGGAGGGUCUUACGAUUCAGUGCCGUCCCCGGACCUGGCCAGCUGUAAGCAGGCGGUGUCCUUGGACUGAGCAAACCUCAGAUUAGUGGUCGGUCACGCUAUUGCUUCGGGUACUCUCAGGACCCGUUUUGAAACACGG